This is a long non-coding RNA of Aquila chrysaetos chrysaetos, 1954 nucleotides long. RefSeq lists it as uncharacterized. The record is from RefSeq and is a predicted model, not a curated record. The transcript is spliced from 7 exons. Lineage: Eukaryota; Metazoa; Chordata; Aves; Accipitriformes; Accipitridae.
GAUGUGGUGUGGAUAAGGGAAAGGCAGGAGAGAUACUUUGAGAGAAGUGGAAUAACUAGCAUUUCCCUGUGCCAGGGAAUAGUUGCUUUUUUGUUGUUUUAAUUGCUAAUUAAACCACGAGGAGGAUCAAAUUAAAUGUUUACAUUUUCUUGAAUGCAAGAUCUAUGGCAAGAGGUACAGCUGGGAGUGAGUUCAUGUCCAGCCCAGUUGUAGACACUGUCUUUUAAAAAGCCAUGCUUGCUUGAAUUCUCUUCAGUGAAUGAUGUAGUGAGCAUUAAAGCUCUCUGAACAGGGGAAGCUAUUGAGCCAUCUGGUGGCUGUCUCUGGGAUGUUUCCAUCAGGGCUUACUCAGCACCUGGAGUAAACUUCUGGGAGUUGAAGGAGCAAUAGAUGAAGAUCUGGGAAAAGAUUCUGCUCAAACUCAAACCCCAAUGAUUCAACUGAAUUAAGGUUACUUAUCCUAAGUCCUGGUUUUCUCCAUUUCUUCCCACGAGGAGUAACUUACUGAGCUAAUGUUGGAUAGUCACCUCUGAAAAGACAAGCUGUGAUGAAAUGCCUGAUCUUCAGUGUGAGAGAAAGCACUGAGGGGAUGGAGAUAUGUUUCUCUGCUUGCUCCAAGGAUUCUAAUAGAGAAGAGAAAUUUACAGCUAACAUUUGUUCGCGCACACAGACUGGCCGUGUUCACUGUCAGGAUUUUCAUGUCGAUCCAGUAACUGCUGUCCUACAGUUGUGACAGGAAUUUGAUCUUUCACUCUUCUGUGAAAUGCAACCGCUACCCCAGUGCUCAAUGUGCUCUGGACACCCCAUACUGGAGACCGGUUUGCUGCAGUGUUGGAUGAGAAGCCCCACUGAAGUCAAUUAAGAGACGUGUGCUUUAACCUAAAUGAAGGUCUGAUCAACUCCAAAUGGAAAACAAAGAUAAAUUAAAACAAGAUUCUUUACCAGCAGAGAAGUACAAAAUGGGUACAUCGGCUACCAGAGGAUGGAAGAGCAGAGAUGCCCCUCGAAAGCAGGCAAAAUUGCUGCCCUAAAUCACUGAGAUCAGGAAGCAUUUCUGGGAAAUUGCUGCUGUGUGUUUGGUCUCCUCUAGGAACGUGCUGUUGCCUGCUGCUGGAGGCAGAGUGCUGGGCUGCACCCGGCAAGGAGAGACGCAGGGUUAAACUUUGAUUCGAUCUCUCACAGGUAGUGCAACUCCCUUCUGCCUUUCCUUCCAGGUUAGUCAUCUAAAGCAGGCAAGCAGCACUUGUAUGCUAUUUUUCACAACUUGUCACCCUAAUGAGUUCCUGCAGGCGAGCCCAGCCUGGCAAGCAGGACCCUGGAGUCAGCAGUGGAUGAAGGUAUUCAGAAAGUCUGACCCAGAAAAAUGGCAGCUGAUCCGCGCAGUCAUUUGCACGGCUCUGCUCGUGGAAGGUUUUGGCUGCCUGAGGAUUUGUGCAGCUCCAUCUACAAGGGGAAGCAGAGAAACAGCACUGUCGUGACAGCAGUGACCAGCCCCAGUCUCACAACCCCCUGCGACUCACAUCUACAGCAAAGGGCUGAUGCAGCCAGAAGCACCUGCAGCAGCAACAUGUGCAUCGCACGAUGUCGAGCCUGCCUCCCUGAACCAGCCAGGAGCAGAGUCCGUCCCUGGCAGGAGGGAGCAGGGACCUAAGGAAGAGAAACGAAUGGCUCGGGUUCCCGUCAGCCAGUGGCACCUCCUUUAAAUAACUCAGGCUUUUUGGGGGCCACAAGAGAUCUCUUCCAUCCGCAUAUGGAAGUUUCUGCAAGUGAUGGUACCCUGCAAAUGGAUACGACCACCCACAGCAGCUCCCAAAAUUAAGUCCUCUGUGAGCAACUACAGCUUUUCUUCAAGAAAACUGCCUUGUGAUCAGCAACAGACACUGUAGUACCACAGUCAUAGGCAAGAUGCUUCAGCAGUUCAUUGCCCCACUCAAAUAAGGCCUUAUUUGUUGCC